Molecule: long non-coding RNA, 1345 nt
Organism: Scophthalmus maximus (turbot)
Lineage: Eukaryota; Metazoa; Chordata; Actinopteri; Pleuronectiformes; Scophthalmidae
Exons: 2
Source: RefSeq, a predicted model, not a curated record
GUCAGGUGCCAUUGUGCCAAUCUGAAGACGCCGCCUCAUCGUCACCCUACUGAAGUCUGUAACUUUGCUCUGCUUCACUCUAUCAGCAUGAAAUUCGACACAGAUCAAUGCUAAUUGAAGUCCUACAUGAUGAAUGUAGUCUGAAGCGUUUUUAACCCACUGGCUGCCGAACAGAAGCAAAGAUGGACCUGCUGAACACUUGAGGUGUUUUUUAUACAGAUGAUUGAGCCUGAGCAGUUACAGGUCACUGUUAUAAUUCCCUUUGCAUGCAUUACGAUACAGGGACACGAGAGUAUUUCAUAUUUUUGCAUUUGCAUCCUGCUUGAAAUGUCACAAGAUUGGAGUUCGGUCAGUUAAAUAACAUCAUAUGCAGGAGGAGUUGCUUCAUGAAUUUAAAUUUCAAGAUUCACCUUGCAUAAUGUCUCCACUGUACAAUAUGAUGAUCAACGCAGCAAAGAGAAGGAAUUUGGUCGAUCCUCCAAAGGCAACUCUCUGUAGGUGCACCCUCAGCUCCCGGACCACACACACAGCAGAUGGGGUAAGCCAUGCCAUCAAGUGGAAAAUAGACCUGUUGUGUUGUCACAGAGACAAGUUACAGUAUCGUCUGCCUGUCGGACCAACUGGGGAAACUGUAGGAGGGAUAUUUUUUUAACACCUCGCUGUUGCAACAAGGGGAUUCUUACUGUGCAUUCACUCCAUCAGGUGUAGAUCAAAAAGGCUGAUUCUUCUUCAUAGUCAAACAGAUGAUCAGAUCCUUGGCUUUUUACUCCUGAUGCUAGGUGUUGAUAUAUUUAAUAAAAUAAUAGACAUGAAUUCACUGUAGUUUAGAGGUAAUGCAGCAUCUCAAACAACAGAAUUCAAAUAAACAUCCUGACUCAUUGCUGCCACCUUGUGUCACUUUAAAUCAUAAACCCACAGAGCUGUGAGGUAACUUGACCACACAUACCGUUAGGCCUCUUCCUGCUCGACUAGCAUGGGAUUGACUGGAAGCUUCUUUUCUUGUUCACAGCAGUUUACAAAUAGACAAAGGUCGACAUCUUUUCCAUUGAUAGAUAAUUCAGAAAGUUGCUAGAUCUUUGCGAAAUGAUUAAUGUGCAAUUUAUCUCAUGUGACCAUGUCCUUUUAGUCAACAGCCUUGUAUGGGUUUUUGGUUUUAUUUUCUUCUUGUUAAGCACUUUGUAACACUGUUAAGAAAAGUACUGUAAAAAUCAAGUUUAUUAUUACCAUUACGUAAUCACAAUACUACAACUUUGUGUCUUCAACACUAGGUUGAUUGAAUAUCCAAACAGUUGAUUGUAUCACAAUAUUUCUAUGCCUUCUUCUGCGGAAUAAAUCUGACAAGUCA